Molecule: ribosomal RNA, 2877 nt
Filed under: Burkholderia multivorans
Lineage: Bacteria; Pseudomonadati; Pseudomonadota; Betaproteobacteria; Burkholderiales; Burkholderiaceae
Description: bacterial LSU rRNA
Rfam family: Bacterial large subunit ribosomal RNA
Source: RNAcentral
UCAAGCGAACAAGUGCAUGUGGUGGAUGCCUUGGCGAUCACAGGCGAUGAAGGACGCGGUAGCCUGCGAAAAGCCCCGGGGAGCUGGCAAACAAGCUUUGAUCCGGGGAUGUCCGAAUGGGGAAACCCACUCCGUAUGGAGUAUCCAUGACUGAAUACAUAGGUCAUGUGAAGCGAACGCGGUGAACUGAAACAUCUAAGUAACCGCAGGAAAAGAAAUCAACCGAGAUUCCCAAAGUAGUGGCGAGCGAAAUGGGAUGAGCCUUGUACUCUUUAUUUGUAUUGUUAGCCGAACGCUCUGGAAAGUGCGGCCAUAGCAGGUGAUAGCCCUGUAGGCGAAAACAGUAUGAAAGAACUAGGUGUACGACAAGUAGGGCGGGACACGUGAAAUCCUGUCUGAAGAUGGGGGGACCAUCCUCCAAGGCUAAAUACUCGUGAUCGACCGAUAGUGAACCAGUACCGUGAGGGAAAGGCGAAAAGAACCCCGGGAGGGGAGUGAAAUAGAUCCUGAAACCGCAUGCAUACAAACAGUCGGAGCCUCGUAAGGGGUGACGGCGUACCUUUUGUAUAAUGGGUCAGCGACUUACGUUCAGUAGCAAGCUUAACCGUAUAGGGCAGGCGUAGCGAAAGCGAGUCCGAAUAGGGCGUUCAGUUGCUGGGCGUAGACCCGAAACCAGGUGAUCUAUCCAUGGCCAGGAUGAAGGUGCGGUAACACGUACUGGAGGUCCGAACCCACUAACGUUGAAAAGUUAGGGGAUGAGCUGUGGAUAGGGGUGAAAGGCUAAACAAACCUGGAAAUAGCUGGUUCUCUCCGAAAACUAUUUAGGUAGUGCCUCGUGUCUCACCUUCGGGGGUAGAGCACUGUCAUGGUUGGGGGGUCUAUUGCAGAUUACCCCGCCAUAGCAAACUCCGAAUACCGAAGAGUGCAAUCACGGGAGACAGACAUCGGGUGCUAACGUCCGGUGUCAAGAGGGAAACAACCCAGACCGCCAGCUAAGGUCCCCAAAUAUGGCUAAGUGGGAAACGAAGUGGGAAGGCUAAAACAGUCAGGAGGUUGGCUUAGAAGCAGCCACCCUUUAAAGAAAGCGUAAUAGCUCACUGAUCGAGUCGUCCUGCGCGGAAGAUGUAACGGGGCUAAGCCAUAUACCGAAGCUGCGGAUGCGUGCUUGCACGCAUGGUAGGAGAGCGUUCCGUAAGCCUGCGAAGGUGCCUUGUAAAGGGUGCUGGAGGUAUCGGAAGUGCGAAUGCUGACAUGAGUAGCGAUAAAGGGGGUGAAAGGCCCCCUCGCCGUAAGCCCAAGGUUUCCUACGCAACGUUCAUCGGCGUAGGGUGAGUCGGCCCCUAAGGCGAGGCAGAAAUGCGUAGCUGAUGGGAAGCAGGUCAAUAUUCCUGCACCAUUGUUAGAUGCGAUGGGGGGACGGAUCGCGGAAGGUUGUCCGGGUGUUGGACGUCCCGGUCGCUGCAUUGGAGAAGGCGCUUAGGCAAAUCCGGGCGCAGGAUUCAAGGGUGUGGCGCGAGCGACUUCGGUCGCGAAGCAAUUGGAAGUGGUUCCAAGAAAAGCCUCUAAGCUUCAGUCUAACGAUGACCGUACCGCAAACCGACACAGGUGGGCGAGAUGAGUAUUCUAAGGCGCUUGAGAGAACUCGGGAGAAGGAACUCGGCAAAUUGGUACCGUAACUUCGGGAUAAGGUACGCCCUUGUAGCUUGACUGGCCUGCGCCAGGAGGGUGAAGGGGUUGCAAUAAACUGGUGGCUGCGACUGUUUAAUAAAAACACAGCACUCUGCAAACACGAAAGUGGACGUAUAGGGUGUGACGCCUGCCCGGUGCCGGAAGAUUAAAUGAUGGGGUGCAAGCUCUUGAUUGAAGUCCCGGUAAACGGCGGCCGUAACUAUAACGGUCCUAAGGUAGCGAAAUUCCUUGUCGGGUAAGUUCCGACCUGCACGAAUGGCGUAACGAUGGCCACACUGUCUCCUCCCGAGACUCAGCGAAGUUGAAGUGUUUGUGAUGAUGCAAUCUACCCGCGGCUAGACGGAAAGACCCCAUGAACCUUUACUGUAGCUUUGCAUUGGACUUUGAACCGAUCUGUGUAGGAUAGGUGGGAGGCUAUGAAACCGGAACGCUAGUUUCGGUGGAGCCGUCCUUGAAAUACCACCCUGGUUUGUUUGAGGUUCUAACCUUGGUCCGUGAUCCGGAUCGGGGACAGUGCAUGGUAGGCAGUUUGACUGGGGCGGUCUCCUCCCAAAGGGUAACGGAGGAGUACGAAGGUACGCUAGGUACGGUCGGAAAUCGUGCUGAUAGUGCAAUGGCAUAAGCGUGCUUAACUGCGAGACCGACAAGUCGAGCAGGUGCGAAAGCAGGUCAUAGUGAUCCGGUGGUUCUGUAUGGAAGGGCCAUCGCUCAACGGAUAAAAGGUACUCUGGGGAUAACAGGCUGAUACCGCCCAAGAGUUCAUAUCGACGGCGGUGUUUGGCACCUCGAUGUCGGCUCAUCUCAUCCUGGGGCUGUAGCCGGUCCCAAGGGUAUGGCUGUUCGCCAUUUAAAGAGGUACGUGAGCUGGGUUUAAAACGUCGUGAGACAGUUUGGUCCCUAUCUGCCGUGGGCGUUGGAUAUUUGAAGGGGGCUGCUCCUAGUACGAGAGGACCGGAGUGGACGAACCUCUGGUGUACCGGUUGUGACGCCAGUCGCAUCGCCGGGUAGCUAUGUUCGGAAGAGAUAACCGCUGAAAGCAUCUAAGCGGGAAACUCGCCUUAAGAUGAGAUAUCCCUGGAGGCUUGACCUCCUUGAAGGGUCGUUCGAGACCAGGACGUUGAUAGGUCGGGUGUGUAAGCGCAGUAAUGCGUUCAGCUAACCGAUACUAAUUGCCCGUAAGGCUUGAUC